Long non-coding RNA from Zonotrichia leucophrys gambelii, 1816 nucleotides. RefSeq lists it as uncharacterized. NCBI's taxonomy places the organism in Eukaryota, Metazoa, Chordata, Aves, Passeriformes, Passerellidae. The record is from RefSeq and is a predicted model, not a curated record. The transcript is spliced from 3 exons.
GCAGGCAGCACAAGGGGAGUCACUGGUAUUUUAUCAUUGGUCACUGGUAUUUCAGCUUUGGAAGCCUCAGGAGAGGCUUCCCCUGUUGACUCAGAAGAGAAGGGGCCAGGAGCACUGAAAAUAAGCUGAUGGGUAGCUGUUCUUUCUCUGUGGCUCUCAUGGCUUUAUUCACCAGAAUCAGGGAGGGCAGAAAAAGGGAGUGUUCAGGAAGCUGUGUAGAACAAGCUGAGUCCAAGUAGGGAACAGAAGGAAGAGGAGACAGGUCCUCGAAGUUUUUUGUCAAGCCCCCCAUCUGUGGAAUUUUGGCUGCCUGCUCAGGAAGAGCAGUCCUUGCCUGGACAGGCUGUUGAAGAGCACCAGGUUCCCUUGCUUGUGAGACUGGCUGGAGAUGUGGGCCUGGACAGCUGGCAAAGCAGCAGCUGUGGGAUUGGUGAGAGCACGGAGGGUGUUGCUGCCUCAGCUGCAGUGCCCUGAUUCAGCUGGUUUUGCUGCUCUAGUCUCUACUGAAUUAACAGCAGGAUUUUUUGGAGAUGAGGAAAAAUAGGAUGUAAGAAGAACUGAAGACAUACCUAAGAUGACUUAAGGAGAGCAUAAUUGAACAUUUAACUGAAGGCCUCUGAGCAACCUCCCUUAAGCAGCAGGUGCUGCCUCUGUACUGCAAGGCCUGGCUUAUCCUCUAUAUGUGACAGUUCUGUGCUCCAACUUUCCACUUGCUUCAGCUCUUCUCUCCAGGAACCCCAAGCAGGCCAGUUUUCCUCUGCUUAAACUCAACAACAACAACAAAAGCCAGCUGAAUGGGUAUUUACAGACUUGGGAAUCCAGAAGGAAAAUGUGCCAGUAUUAUCUCAGGUCUUUUGUUUGCUGGUGCAGAGAGGAGGAUGACGGGAGAGGAGCCAGCAGUGCCCAUGAACCUUGCACAGAGCUGGCAGGGGCACGGUGGCUGCGCUGGGUUUGGCCACACCUUGGGGAGUGCAUGGGAGGCUGCAGCGUUUGGCCCCGGGCUCUGGGGCAGACUUCUAGGUGGAGCCUCGUAAUCUUCCUUUCCUGCUCCUCCUAGCUACUGACAGCAGUCCUGGGAGCUCUUCUGGGCUACCGAUUUGCCUCCCAGACUGUGCUGCUUUCCUGAAGGCUCUUUUGGACCACAGCACUAACAUCAAUGUCUUGUCACAAGGUUUAGCUUCCCCCUCUCUGGUUUAUAUUUGAAGGGGUGGACACACUCAUAGCUGUAGACAGCUGGUGUGUUUGGACUGAUUAUAGGCAUCUCUGAGAUUUAGUUUCUCUUGUUUGUCUGUCUGGUUCAGUCUCCUCAGUUUUCCAGAAGAAGAUGACAAAAAUGCUGAUGGACUUAUGGAUAAUAGUGUAGGGCACUGGCACAUGCCCAGGUUUACCAACUGCUAAACUGUGGCUCAGUUUAACUGCCAAACUGGCAGUAAAUUCCACUUUCAAGCUAUUUAAACACCUGGCCUGUCUGGGAGUUGUUUCUUUCAGCAGUCAGAGUGAGGAAUAUGAGAUUUCCAGAUCAAAUGAGGAUUAUUUUCCAUUCUUGCACACACCAUAGUUGGAGAUCAUAUCCCAGGCUAGAGUAGAUCAAAAUAGUGACUGAAGGAUAAAAGUGUUAGGCAUGUAAGCCCCAGCAAUAACCAGUUAAUGAAUAGUUUUGUCCCCUUCUGCUUUUCUUGGUGCCUCUGUCUUUGCCUCCUACUGUGCUAUGAUUCCUCAGUCUAUAGCAGGACCUAUGACUGUAAUGAUAUUUUCAGGCAGAGCUGAGUCUGCUUCUUGCUGUCCUGAGUCCAAUAAACUACAGUCAUCAAGUUUC